UAAUACAUACAUAUGUAGAUAUGUACCUACAUGUGUAGAUAUGUACAUACAUGUGUAGAUAUGUACCUACAUGUGUAGAUAUGUACCUACAUGUGUAGAUAUGUACAUAUGUACAUGCAUAUGCAGCGCAAAUGUACGAUAAGAAUGC
RNAcentral lists this small RNA (148 nucleotides) under Drosophila guanche. Lineage: Eukaryota; Metazoa; Arthropoda; Insecta; Diptera; Drosophilidae. The record is from RNAcentral.